AUUGAACGCUGGCGGCAGGCUUAACACAUGCAAGUCGAGCGGAGACUUCGGUCUUAGCGGCGAACGGGUGAGUAAUACCUAGGAAUCUGCCUAUUAGUGGGGGAUAACGAAUCGAAAGGUUCGCUAAUACCGCAUACGUCCUACGGGAGAAAGGGGGGGAUCUUCGGACCUCUCGCUAAUAGAUGAGCCUAGGCCGGAUUAGCUAGUUGGUAGGGUAAAGGCCUACCAAGGCGACGAUCUGUAGCUGGUCUGAGAGGAUGGCCAGCCACACUGGGACUGAGACACGGCCCAGACUCCUACGGGAGGCAGCAGUGGGGAAUAUUGGACAAUGGGCGAAAGCCUGAUCCAGCAAUGCCGCGUGAGUGAUGAAGGCCCUAGGGUUGUAAAAGGCUCUUUUUACCCCGGGGAUGAUAAUGACAGUACCGGGAGAAUAAAGCUCCGGCUAACUUCGUGCCAGCAGCCGC
RNAcentral lists this ribosomal RNA (464 nucleotides) under uncultured bacterium. Its description in RNAcentral is "bacterial SSU rRNA". It matches the Rfam family "Bacterial small subunit ribosomal RNA", at positions 30 to 518 of the family's 1533-position model. The record is from RNAcentral.